UAGGGAAUCUUCCGCAAUGGACGCAAGUCUGACGGAGCAACGCCGCGUGAGUGAAGAAGGAUUUCGGUUCGUAAAACUCUGUUGUUAGAGAAGAACAGCGCAUAGAGUAACUGUUAUGCGUGUGACGGUAUCUAACCAGAAAGCCACGGCUAACUACGUGCCACCAGCCGCGGUAAUACGUAGGUGGCAAGCGUUGUCCGGAUUUAUUGGGCGUAAAGCGAGCGCAGGCGGUCAAUUAAGUCUGAUGUGAAAGCCCCCGGCUCAACCGGGGAGGGUCAAUGGAAACUGGUUGACUUGAGUGCAGAAGAGGAGAGUGGAAUUCCAUGUGUAGCGGUGAAAUGCGUAGAUAUAUGGAGGAACACCAGUGGCGAAGGCGACUCUCUGGUCUGUAACUGACGCUGAGGCUCGAAAGCGUGGGUAGCAAACAGG
This 429-nucleotide ribosomal RNA is filed under the name Bacteroidota bacterium. RNAcentral's name for it is "Bacteroidetes bacterium partial 16S ribosomal RNA". It matches the Rfam family "Bacterial small subunit ribosomal RNA", at positions 355 to 776 of the family's 1533-position model. The record is from RNAcentral. Lineage: Bacteria; Pseudomonadati; Bacteroidota.